RNAcentral lists this small nucleolar RNA (128 nucleotides) under Mus caroli (Ryukyu mouse). Its description in RNAcentral is "predicted gene, 25272 (MGP_CAROLIEiJ_G0036051.1)". It matches the Rfam family "Small nucleolar RNA SNORA17". From Rfam's summary of the family: snoRNA ACA 17 belongs to the H/ACA family of snoRNAs and is predicted to guide pseudouridylation of the 28S rRNA at positions U4659 and U4598. The record is from RNAcentral. Lineage: Eukaryota; Metazoa; Chordata; Mammalia; Rodentia; Muridae.
GCUGCCCUAGCAGUGUUGCAGGUGUGGUUGCUAUGUCACAAGUGUAUCAGAAGAUGACACAGAGAGAGGCUAUGCCUAUAUUUAGUGUUCAGACCUGUGAAUAUCUCAAUGAUUAGUAGUCUACUAUU